This is a long non-coding RNA of Vigna unguiculata (cowpea), 736 nucleotides long. NCBI's taxonomy places the organism in Eukaryota, Viridiplantae, Streptophyta, Magnoliopsida, Fabales, Fabaceae. The record is from RefSeq and is a predicted model, not a curated record.
UAGCUCAAUUUAAGUCUCACAUCCCAAACACGAUGCUUGAUCCAUUGGCUGAUUGAGAAUCAAGGGAUGCAUAAGAGAAGCGAAUCCAUCACGGAGAGAACCUGAUGCGUGAGAUGUUGAUUUGAUUCGAGAGAAAGAGAUCGAAGCUAAUGCGGAUUGGAGGGAGGUGACUGAGGCUGAUUCGAGAUGGAGAACGAGGAGAAGAUUGAAGCAAAUCAAAGGCGCCACGUAGAAGGUUCAUUAUCACGAUUCUAGUUUGGAGCAAAGAAGAUCAGGGACUUUUGUAUGGCCAUCCACGCUGUUUAAUAUCCUAAAAUAAAGGUUUUCUUUUAUUUUCACGCCAAUGGCAAAGUUUUCAUCUUAAAAGCAUAUGGUGUGGCACUACCCAUUUUCCUGCACUGCACACUUUUUGUAAAAUGAAGGUUACUACUUCGUUAACCGUUGGGCGAGAUGAUGAUUGGAUGCGAGGAACACCCAUGGUCAACAGGGAGGUGAUGGUUCUGUUGCUUAGCCUCCGGACUGGCUUCUUCUUUUAGGCUUUUCUUUUAGGGCGAUGGCCCAUGUACUGUCUGGCCUUUGGGCUUUAUUUUUUAAACAUUGUCGUUAUUCCUUUAUACUUUCUUUUUGGCAUUGUAGUGUAUCUUGGUUAUUGUAUGGAGUAGUGUUUAUACUCCAGGACUACGCUACUAUAUUAUCCUAUGUGACGUUUAUUUUAAUUUGGAUUAUUAAUUAAAUG